CUUCUGACAAGGUAAGAAUGAAUUUUAAAAAAAAAUACAAGUAUAUACUUAUUAAGUUUAGAAAAAUUAUAUAAUUAUAAGUUUAUAAAAUUAUUGUACAAAAUAUGUUCUUCUGAUUCUAUGAUAAAUGAAACUGCUCUAUAGAUGAGAAGGCAAAUUGCUUUUCAUGUAUAAAGAAAGAAGUUCAUAUUAAGAAAAUUAAAUUUCUUAUUGACAAUUUUAAUUUAAGAAUACUGUCCUCUACUGUGAUAAAGAAGGUUAGAAAAAGAUUUUAAGUGUUUUUACUGUGCUUUCAUAAGCUAGCUGCGAAGUCAGAAAGUUUUUCAGUACAUGGAAAAAAAGAAUCCAUUCUAAUACUUGACAAAUAAAAAGAAUAAGAAAAAAUACAUACUUAAGCUUUCUAUUUGAAAGGGAAAGGAUUUUGGUGUUUGCUGGCUUUUCCUUCAAAUUGUAUUAUUUAUGGAAAUAAAAGCUAUGUAGGUAAUUCCUAAACAUUUGUUUCCAAAUGUUUGCUUGUAAAUCACUUUAUUAUUUAGGAAAAUGCUUUCUCACAGUAACAGGAUGAUUACAUAAUGAUUCAGUGCCAGGCCAAGCUGACUGACAUCUCUUCAGCUCUUCAGGCUUGUAAAGAAUUUCAUUAGUAAAAUUGUAGAACUGAAAAACACGGAAAAUAACAUUUUAAAUGAGAAAACUAGAAUUAGCAUUCACAGAAGCGCUGGGUACUCCACUCACGCUUAACCCUGCUUGUCACCCAUGGGAGAAAGGCACACUCCCAUCCAGCUCUAACCUCAACCAUUGCCUAGACAUCCAACAUGCUCCCCACACCCACUGUGGCCUGUGUAAUCCCAGUGUAGACUUUCUGACUCCUAAAUUGAAAGUGUUUACCCUGAGCUAUAUAACCUGCCAUCAGUGUUUAGUACUAUCAGCUCUGAAUCGAUUAGUGAUUAUAAUUUGAUGAUAAUUAAGAUGAUCUACUUUUGACCCCAUCAAAUUUAACCACAUUAAGUGACAUCAUAAAACUUUAAGAUGAUAAAGAAAGAUAGAAAUUACAUUUGAACAAAUUUCCACAGGUUCUUAACUUACCAGUGAGUUACCUGGUCCAGACUCUUUCAACUCACCAUUACUAUAAAAGCAAUUCACAGAUCAAUUUCUGAUCAUGAAACCUGAUUCUAAAAACGAAAAUAAAAACAAAGAAAACCUCUUAGAUGCCUCAAUUCCAGAGAUAUCUGAAGCCUGAAACAGGACCAUAUUUUCCCAGACAUCUUAUUUCUUAUACUCUUCCUGUCUUUCUUCCUUCCCUUCCCGGAGAGGAAGGACAGAAGAACUUAGACCAAAAGGAGGAUUUGAUUCCACUAUUAUAUGUAUUAGGAGGAAGGGACUAGAAAAAAAUUUCCAGUGACCUUUGGAGAUGGACGUGCCUUUGGUCACCAAUUGGAGCAACAAUUCACAUUUAAGGAUGUGUAUGAGGCAGCCCUAUGUAAUUAGGAGAACAUCUACUGCAUCUACUACACAUUUAUGUCCAUUUUGAAUUAUGUGGAGGAUAACCAUUGGUUUAGUAUAAUUAAAAUAUUCAAUGGUUUAGUUGUACAAUUUAAUUGUAGUAAGUUAUUAGUAAAUCUUAAGACAAAAAGCAUAAGUUUGAAAUUGUCAGAAACAUAUGAUGAUAUGCUUAGAAACCCCAAAUCAUUAUGUUUUAUUCAUCUUGAUUUUUCUUUUCAUCUCUGGUUUUACAUCCCUUCCAUAAAUUCUUUCAAUGAAAAGUUAACAAACUGAUAAUUCUUAAGAUAGUUAAAAUUAAAGGACAUACUUUUCUCUUCUUUCUCACCAGCAAUAACUCUUUUCACUGUAUGUUUAGAAAUACAGAAUAAUAUUUUAAAGUUAAGAAUGAACAUAUUACUUAAUAAUAAAAUGUCAGAAUACUGUUGCAAUUCUUCUGUUUUCAACAGAGGGGGACUAGAUCUGAGAUGUUCAAAUCAUUGCCUAUAAUUCUUCCAUUGUGAAGAAUACAAACACUUUAUAACUAUUCAUUUGAUUUCUCAUUUCUAACUUUUUUUUUUUGUACUGGAGAUUGAACGCAGGGGUGCUCAACCAUUGAACUGCAUAGCCAGUCCUUUUUCUUUUUUAUGUCUUAUUUUCUUUUUUAUUUUGAGUCCUUUUUUUGCUAAGUUUCUCAGGCUGGUCUGGAAUUUGUAGUCCUUCUUCCUCAGUCUCCCUAUUCCCUGAGAUUACAGGCACUUGUCACUGGGCCUAGCUGUCAUUGGUAACUUGUAUGAUUCUAGUGAGACUGAACUAUGUCUGUGAUCUUAUAAUUUGCUCUUCUGUUUAAAUAUAACAGAGAGCUUGAAUUGUAUGAUGUUUCCAUUGAAAGAUUUCCACUCAAAAGCACUUUUAUUUGGCUGGCUGAUUACACUCUAAAACACUUUACAAUCUGAAAAGUGAAUCUCUAUUGUUGCAAAAUUGAGAGUCUAGAAUUUCCAAAACUACACGAAUCUCAUUACUGCUCAAUUCAUUGGCCAAACAUAUGGUAGAUAGCUGGUUAACAAAGUCCAGAGGUUCUAAAGACAUUGGCUCUGAAAAUGUAUGCAAGAAUUUAGUUUAUUCAUAACGAAAUGGAUUAAUCUCUUGGAAAAUCCAGUUGCAUUUCUUUAGUUCCAGUGCCCCAUUCUUAUUGUGGUUACAUAAAAUUUAGAGUUAAAUCCAGAGCCUAUAUCUACCCCAAAAUACCAACCAUUAAAAAAUAAAUAAAUUAGCUAAAACAUUCCUCUGUCCAAUAUUGAAAACAGAUUUUUUUUCAUGAGUUGUCCAUUUUACAGCACAAGGUGAGAAGAAACAAAUUAUACAGAUGUCUAACUUCAGUAGCUACUACCUGAGUCUGAGUAGAAGUUCUAUAGGAGCCUAGUUACCCAAAAGUUUAAGCUGGAAUAUGGCACAUACUCUUCCAAUAAACAAAUAGUGGAUUAGCAAUUCUCAGAAGCUCAGAAGUAUUAUUUUACUUACUGUUCAUGAGUGUUUAAAUGCUUUACCUCUCAAAAUUUUAAAUAUCGAAGAACAUCUGAAUAUCUUAGAGGCAUUGAGGGCUUUCUAUAAUAAAGUUAUCAAUAAAAAAUUUCUUUUGUUCUCUUCGUUAUUGCUGAUGGGAACCACUGUUUCAUCCACAUACCAAGGAUCAGUGUGAAACAGCAUCCAGACUGAUCAUAUCCACACAGGAAAAACUUGAAUGGUCAUCCCACGAGGUUGAAAGGAGACUAGGUCAAAAGUGAGCUUUGUCUGGGCUAAGUGGUGCAUGCCUAUAAUCCAAGUGGCUCAGGAGGCUGAGGCAGAUUUCAAGUUCAAAGCCACCCUCAGCAACUUAGCAAAACCCUGUCUCAAAUAAAACAUAAAAAGGGCUGGGGAUGCGGUUAAGCACCCCUAGGUUCAAUCCCUAAUACCAAAAAAACAAAAACAGUGAGCUCUUUUGUUCAUUCUGGAAGAAGUUCUGAUCUAAAUUCUGGGUUACUAUAAGAUUAAUGCAAAACAAAAACAAACAAACGAACCAAAAAAUCCACUUGAGAUAGCCAAAAAAUUAACUGAGGCUUUAGGAAGGAUUCAGGAUUAAACCACAUAUGCCACACUAUUUUUUACCAGACUUCAAGAAUAGAGAACAGCAUCUGGUAGCAAACUUAACUCCCUUCUAAGACCAAAGGCAGUCCUAACCAAAUAUGGUCUCCCUGGGUUCAAAGAAUAGAGUACAAUUAGCCCUGCCAUUGAUACAGUCAGAACAAUAUUUAGUAGUUGAAAAAAAACCACUUUACUCACCAUGGAGUUCAUUAUUUUGGAGUCCAUCUACCAUUGUAAACUGCUUUUACAUACUAGGAAGAGGAAGCAGUAGAAAUGGCCAUGGGUGAUGCAUCCCUUCCUCUCUCCAUGACAUGGGUGGAAGCCAAAGUCUGGUUUAUUACAGUACAGAAACAUUGCUAUUAGGGUGGCAAGAUAUGACUGAGAGAUGAAAGAGUUUGUGCUGGCAAACUUUGAUUUGACUUUUGAUUUGAUUCAACAAAUCUGAUAACAAAGCAAUAAAAAUAAUAGCCUUUUAUUACCUAUAAUGUGCUGGACACUGUAUUAGGCUCCUUAUAUGCAUAAACUUAUGUAAUCUUCAUAACAACUUCUGUUAGUUGAGUAGUAGUAUUAUUCUGUAUUUUACUCAGUUCCCAGAGGGGUUAAUUAACUUGUCCAAGGUCAUUUAGCUGCUCUGCGGCAGACAAGAUUUGAAACCAAAUUGAUCUGACUCCAAAUCCUUUUCUCUUAAUAAGCACUAUAAAACAUGCCUCUAUCUGCAAAUGCCACUUAGCAGAGGAGCCACACGACAAAUUUAUACCCUGUAGAGUUGAAACUAAUAUGAUAUUCUAAUAUUGAAAGUAUUACAGAGCCCUCUAAUUAGUCAUAGUCUACAUAUUUGCUUCAACAAGUCCUUGGAAGUCAGCAUGUAUUCUCUAUUGAACCUAGAUAAUUAGGAGCAUACUGUACAGGGUGGAUUGCUAAGCAAUUAUAUAACUUGUAGACUAAGGUAUCCUUGCAGUGGUGAUUCUGCCAGUAGAGAAAGCUGCAAUAUUCUUUAUAUUUAAACAUUCAUAACAUAAUAAUUCAUGGCUAUAAAAUUCAAGGGAUUUACCAGUAUAAUUUCCACAGGAUGUUAUUAGAAAGAAGAAACUAGAUUAAUAGUUGACUGGUACCAUGCUUUUGGUAGUAUUUCAUAAAGUAACCCAGGCCUCUAUGAAUGGAAGGACUUGUAAUGAUGUAUCAAGACUCAUUGUUCAGGGACUAAUAUCCUUCCUUGCUCCAUUUGAGCAAAGAAGGAGUAAGUACCUGAAUUUUAAAGUCAUUAAAGAAGAUUCACAGCCCCUUUUCCUUAUGUACUAUAACAGUAUUUCACUAAAUACCCCCAUAAAUAAUUAUCUAGACAUAGGAUCACAGUGAACAUUGUAUUAUGAGUCUGGCCUGCCCUUAAAGGACUGGAAAACAGGACAUAAACAUGCCAGAGCUUUGGAGCAAAAGAAUUACUUCUUCUCCUCAGCCUAUCAUAAACACCUAAGCUCAGGAGGUUCCAGAGAACUCACCCAUGUUUCUACCAGCUUGGGCAAUCUGAAUGUAGUCAUAGAGGUGAUAGGAGAAAUAAAUUCAUGUUCUUAAAAUGCUUUAAUUUGAUACAGGCAAAAUUUUAAUCCAUAGGAAGAAUACUGGAAGCAUGAAAAUAUAAAAUGUAAUGACCAAUAGAUUCCAAAUAAAUGGUCUAGAAUUUUAUAAUUCUUAUAACUUAAUUACAUCAAUUUUAAAUUAUCACCUCCAGAUCUCCAAGCAUCUGCAUCAAGAUUUUAACUUCUUUAACUCCACCCUUGUGGGGGGAAAAUGAACUUUCCUUUGGUAUGGAUAUGAGUAUUGCAUCAAAUAGAAUUUUUUAUAUGAUUAAUAUUAAGAAGAGAAGAAUAAUCUGACAUGCAGAAUAAAAGCAUUUAUUUGAAACCUUUACUCAAAGAUCUCAAUACUCAGAGGUAUAUAUGGCAUUGGCAAGUUCAGAAAUGUACAUGAAUAGCUUUCCAGUUUUGCUCAGCCUCAUGACAUUGAGUGAUUCAUAAACAAAGGGCUACAAAAGCCCUUGACUUAGGAAAAAGGUACAUGCUAUAUGUCUAUCCGUCAGGUUUCCUUCACAGACAUUAAAAAACAAAGAAAGCAACACAUUUGUCCAGAACUCUUCAUUGCCUGUGAUUUUAUUUACCAAAUAGAUAUUAAACUAUAAAAAGCACAUUUCCUUCGUUUUAUACAACUGGUAGGCAAAUAUGAUUUGUUUUCUAUAUUUCUAAAUUUGUGUUAUAAGUAAUAUAAUUUAUAAAUUUUCCAUCCUUAUUUCUGCUUUGAGUUAUUAUGCAAUGCAAUGUAAUUUGUAAAACCUUUGAAUUAUGUGAAAAUAACACUUAGGAAUAAGAGCAUAUUGUUGAUAGACUAUAUUUUGGACUAAGUUUGAGAAGCAGUUGAAAUAGAUCUGAUGUAAUAAAUAAACCUGGACUUAUUAAGAGUCAAUUUUAAGUAUAAAUUAUGUUCUGGUACAACAGAUUACUUCAGCUGCCUCUUAGUCAUACUGCAGUUUGAGGUUUAGAGUGCCACUUGGUUAUUUAAGGACAUUAUAAGUGAGAUAGCAAGGCUUUUUAAAUAAAAAUAUUGGAAGAAAGAUCCUAAAUCUAAUCAUAAAUGUAGUCUUUAUGAUGUUCUACUAGUAUAAAUGUAGUCUAUAAUCUUCUAUUAAUAGAUUCCCUCAGCCAUAACAAUUAUAGACUUUUUUGAAAAGCACGGUAGACCAGCUGCAAUGGUACACACCUAUAAUCCCAGAAGCUCAGGAGGCUGAGGCAGGAAGAUCACAAGCUCAAAGCCAGCCUCAGCAAUUUAGCAAGGUCCUAAGUAACUUAGCCAAACCUUGUCUCCUAAUCAAAAUAAAAAUGGCUUUGGAUGUGGCUCAGUGGUUAAUCUCCCCUGGGUUCAAUCCCAAGUACCAAAAAAAUUUUAAAAAAUAAAGGCAUAGUAAAAUGCUUUAGCCAAUUUGAAAAUGUCAGUGACUAGAUAUUAUAAUAUAAAAAAGACAUGGAUUUCAGCUUUAAAAAUCAAAUAAUCAAAUAUCUUUCUACAUAGACAUAGCUCUUUAGGAAAAUAUCACCAAAGCAUACAUGUGAAAAAAUAAGGUAAUUAAAAAGUACCCAUUUAAAUAAGAACUUUGGUUGUGACUUUUAAAUUCAACAAUACACUUAGAAAAUCAUAAAAAUUGAGAAUUUCAUCACUGUGUGAUAUAGCCUAACAACCAGUAAAAUAUCUCUUUUUGUUUUCAAUAAAAUUAAAGCCCAAAUCACACAGUUAGCUAUAGUAGUUGCUAGAGUUAUGUAUUAUUUAUGUUCUGUCUGCUGCUUCACAUUAGCUAUUUAGCAUGGAACCUGAUAAGCAAAGGCAAAAAUGGAACAGGAAAGGAUUUAGAGACUUUAUUUUUAAAUUUGUUUCUAUUCUUUGGAAAAUGUCAAGCAUUUCCAAUCAAAAUAUGAAAGCUCUUAACGUUAGUGCAAAAAUAAUAUGUAAUUACUGAAAAGAAUUGACAAGUCCACCAAUGGAAAUUAAUUACUGAGAGUCAAUUAGGUUAUUGAAACGUGUGUGUGAAAUCUUUCACAUUCCUUUUACAAAGUUACUACACGUUUAAAAGUGGUAUUCCAAGAACUUUUGUCUACUUUCUUAUUUGAAUAGGUUAGAACCAACUAGAAUUCCUGGAAAUAUUAUAAAGCCAAAAUUGCUAGAAAUAAAAGCAAAUAAAUAAAAAGCAGUAUAUGUCAGGUCUCUGUCUAUAGUAUCAUCAUUUAACAUGUUUUUUUCAAAAAACAUUUAGACACAUAUAUAUGUAUAUAUAUAAGCAAAGCAAAUUAUAUAUAUAAUAUCAUACAAUUUUCUGAAAAUCUACCCCCAUAAUUGUUCUAGGCUGGAAGUGGAGGGCAUUUCAUCUCCUGAUCCCAGCUUCCAAAUAAUCACUAACAAGCAAAAUAAACAAACAAGAAGAUAUUAAUGGAACUUCAAUCGUGAUAGUUUGUAUUUAUCUUAAGUCACUUUUCCUAGAUGAUGAGCCUGACAUGGGGAUUAUGUGCAAGUUUUUUUUUUUUAAUUGAAGAAUUAUUUUCAGAUGAAAGCUAUAAGAGCAGGGUUAGAGACUAAGCAAAUACAUAUAUUAAAGGAAGCCUGAUUCCACAUCAAUGGCACCCACAGGGUUGUCUUACCCUAAGAGGAGAAAUCGUCUUUAAUACUCUAGUAUCAGCCAGUCCUUGACUGUAGGCCUCCCCAAAGAGGAGGCAGUAACUUGCCAAGUAUUUCCCAGGAAAGGAGGCUGCAGGCUGAGGGGAUUUCAAGGAAAAUGUCCAAUCCUGAGCAGCACCUGCAGCUUGUGGACACAGGUCUGAUACAGGAAAUCUGGCAGAUCACCAAGAGUGUCCAUUACUGCAUUAUGAAAAUGGGUUUCUUUCAUGUUUCAAACUAAAAGUGUUUUAGUACCAGAGAUUCUGAUGUACUCCCAUCCAUAAGCAUUACUGUUCCAAAGUGCAGUGCUUUCAACCAUGGCAUCAGAAGAAUUUCCAGCAGCUGAAACUUGAGUACAGAUUCUGAAAUUGGCUAUGUCAGAUUUUUUGCAGUGAGACUCAUUUAAAUAUGUUUUAAAACCCUAUGAUUAUUCUAAUUCAAUGUUUUCCUUAGGAAAAAAAAAACUGCAUUCUACAAAUAAAGCACUAGUUCAUUUAAGAGUAAGUAAUUAUAAUUGAAUCAAAUCUGUAUUUCUUUGUAGCUAAAGAAAGUGAUUUGUAAAACUAGGUAUUGAUCAAAAAGAUCAAGGAAAUUUGGAGUGAAUGUCUUAAGAUGUAAAAAUAGACAGAGUCAGACAACAAGAGACAGAUAUUAAGGAAAGGGAAUCUAUGACAAAUAAAAAAAGAAACCCAGGUAACUACGCAUCACUUUUAUUGUGCCAUUUUUCCUCUUUGGGUGUGUGAAGAAAUUGUGAGAACUCAAUGAAUUUAUUCUUAUAUCCUAUAAAUUCAAAAUUACACUGUCCCUAAAGAUCCUUUGGAUGAGUUGGGGAAAGCCACAAACAGAUGAGAAUAGAUAUCCAGGAAAGGCUGACAAUGAGUUAGCCUAAAGUCCCAGAACUAUGCUAGAAAGUUAGAUUAAUAGGUCACAAUUUAGAGUGAGUUAUUUUUAAAUUUCAUAUACAUAUAAAAAUUUUAUAUUUAUGUAUAUAAUAAGAUAAAUUCAAAAUUAAAUAAAGCAGUUAUAAUGAUUUAGGAUUACUACAUAAGGUAUCAAACUAUAUAUGUGCAUAUAUUUAGUUGCCUAUUAUAUUUACAAUGUAACUAAUAUAGUUAUACAUAGUCUUUUUUAAAUUUAUCUAUUUAUUCUAAUUUGUUAUACAUUACAUCAGAAUGCAUUUCAAUUCAUAGUGCACAUACAGAGCACAAUUUUUCAUGUCUCUGGUUGUGAACAAAGUAGAGUCUCACUAUUCGUGAACUAGUUCUAUUUUCUUAAGCAUAAUAGACUAUAAAUUGCUUCCUAUAUUUGAAACCUUGUUGAUUAAACCUCAUCAUCCUGCACAAAUCAUAUUCCCAUAAUAAGAGAUUAUAUUUUAACACCCAGGGACAUUCUUUAGUAGGAAAUAAGCAACCUUUUUUUAGUACUGAACUAAACAUCAAAGUGAUUAAAGAAAAUUCAUAUCCUACUUUUUGUUUAUUUGCCUCUUUGUUUACUGAAGUGUCUGUUUAUGUAUAGGGGGAAAUCAUAUGUUCCCUCUGUUCCCUACUUCAAGAAUGUUUCCACCUUGACUUAGAAUGACUAAUUUAGAGGAAUACCUAGACUUGGGAAAUUUUACUUGUUCCUUUAUGUAAGAAAGACUGAUAUGUUUGGUUUUGUACGAAUUGCACAACCAGCAGGGGUGGAUUCAGUUCCCUGAAGGUGUCCACCUCUGAACCAUAAAAAGUAGUCAAAGAACAAAGAGUGAAUCAAGAACUAAUCGUACUUAAGAUCCUUCUGCUGGUCCUUCCUUCUGGUGUGAGCUGCUUCCCUUUCGUUCAUCAUCAUAGGCAGCCUCAAGUCUUUUACCCUGCACAACACAAUUAUUCUCCAUAAAUAUAUUCUCAGUCCCAGAUGCAUAAACUACAAUAACCUUUUUUAUUUAACCUAUACAUUUCAAAAAUUUAUACAAGUAACAAGUGAAAAUAUUGUACUAUAACAUUUCAAAUAAUAUAGAAAUAUAAAGACUAAAAGUGGAAAAUGAACUUACUUUUUCACUCUACUCCACACUGCCAAUGUAUAGCCACUUUCAGUCAACAUGUCAGGAAUUCAUGGCUCUACUGUCUUCUGGUCAUUUGCUCCAGACGUUUUGGCCUUCUGAUUUCACUGCCACAUCUAAGAAAUACCUCUAGCACGCACAGUCUGACUAUACAACAAAGUGUUAGUUAUUAAGAAAAACAUUAUUAAACCUUUAAGAAUCAUAGUUUGAUUGAAUAUAGCUUACAACAAGACACUCUCUCACUUCAAAAACCUUAUUUGAGCUUACGUGACAAAAAAAAAGUUUGACUGAAUUCAUCAAUUUGCAAUUAAUGAUUUUGAAAUACAAAGACAGUGUCAAAAAAAUUACACAAUUGAAAGGACUUUGAGGGAGCCUGCAGGGAUGAUAAUCAGAAACCUGAAUACCAAUACUAUUUUAGGAAUAGCUACGAAGGAGAAUACAGAACCACCUAGAGUAACCUCCUCCUGUUUUUAAUAGUUUCUACUAUUUUAUGCUUUUUGCAAUGCUGAGAAAGAAAGCCAUUAGGGGAUCUGGAAGAAUGGGUAAACUGUAUGAAGCUCAGCAAUCCAAAUAUCUACCACCAGUUGGGGUCUCAUAUUUAAAAACAAGCUUUAAAAGACUUAUAAAAUAAAUGAAAAAAAAGUCUUUUCUUUUUCUUUAUAAAUUCAGAAAUCUGGAAUGAUAAUAAGUGGGGGAAUAUGAUCAUUGACUUUUAAAAGAAAAUAUGACAAGUAAAAGAAAAUUAUUUUUAAGCUCAAAAUUUUCAUCAAGAAAUAAGCAGGAUGAAAAUGUCCUUUGAAUCAUAAUAGAUAGACAUCCAGAGAUGUUUAAUUGCUAGAGAAUCAUGAGAAUACUGGAGCAAUUAAUGAAAUGUAAAAUAUAAUUAUAAAAUAACCAAAACCAAACACAAUUUUAGUUCUUACAUUCCAGUUUCCAGAAGAGAACUGUCCAUAAUGACCAGUAUCAAACUAUAAAAAAAUAUUAUAAUGAUCGAUCUAUCAUUUCUAAAAGGAAUCUCAUAGAAAAGGCAAUGAGUUGCUUAUGUUUUAGAUACUUUAAAUAAGUCAAAAGAACUAUAUUUUAUGUACAUAUAAAAUACUAAACAAAUUUUAGAAUGAUCUAAAAAAUCAAACAAUAUGUGUUUCUUCUGCUAGGAUAUUAUGUUUUAUCAUAUUGCCACUAAAAUAUUUGUAAUCUCAUAGUCAAUUUCUCUGGGUUUCACUAGUCUCCUGAUUGCUCCAAUGCAUUAUUAAUAAUUUUUAACAAGUACAAGCAAGUGGUUUCUAUUUUAUUGUUUACUCUAUUAAAAAGUAGUGAAAUUGAUUUUGAAAUUCCUUUAAACAUCUGUACAAGAUUUUUGCAAAACCUCUACAUGGCUUUAAUCAGUUAUAGAGUUUUAAUUUACAUCUAACUCUAAUUUCCUAGGUUUCUAAAGCAAUUCUCCUUUUUGUCCUUCUCAUGGGUUUUCCAUUUCAUUGUUUUGUGAGCUAAAGCUCAGUCAUUCCUCGAAGCACCAUGUUCAGCUGUUAGUGACUCUCUUUCUUUCUCUUUUCUUCCUUUCCUAACUUUCCCCAAUGACCAUGGGAUAAAUCUCAUCUCUUGUUGCAUAGAAAUUUCUCAGUUACUAAGGUAGCAAAUUGUUCAAAGCCUAAAAUGUACACAUAGCAAUUAACUUUAAAAUAUUUCAUCAUCAUACUUCUGAUUCAUAAAGAAAAACACUAUUGAUAAUACCUUGUCUUUGAUAAUAUUGAUAAUACCUUGUCAUCUUCGAAUAAUUAUAGAGACUAAGUAAACACAGUCUAUUAUGUAUGUUUAAUGUUGCUUCUUCAAGACACAAUAGAGCUACAUAUUAAUGUUGCCCACUUAAGGAAAAGAAAACUAAUAUUUGCUACUAUGGGAGAAAAACAGUAGCCCCUUAAAAGCUGUUAAAUCUAUGGCUCUGUUUGCUAUUUUCAUGAGUUAGUUUUUCCUCUAGAAACUCUCGUUGAACUUUCCAUAAUUACAAGACAUCAUGAAAUUCUAUAUUCUAAUAUAUUUAAUGUGUUCUGAAUUAUAAUUGUAAUAGUGUAUAAUUUUUACUUGAGGUAUGGCCUUCCUAGAAGCCAAUUUCUUAGCAUCAGCUAGAGCUAAGAUUUUUUUUUUCUAGAAUUUUAAAGAAAAUCAUAUUUCACAAAUUGAAGUUGCAGUUCCCUUAAGACAAGUUCUAUUUUGGAGUCUACACUUACAAGAGCUGAGACUGUCAUAGUCACUCACCUUCAUCAUUAAAAAAAAAAAAAACACACACACACAAAAAGCUCUUUUCUCCUCUAAAGUUAGAAUGUUAAGUACCGGUCUUGUAGUCUAACUUUCUGAAUCCUUGGUUUAUGUCUGGAGGUGUAGAAGGUAGGUAACUAGUAAGAAAAGGUCAGAUCUGAACACUGUGAGAAAUCUCCUAAAUUCAUCCUUUCUCAAAAGUACUUGUGAAAAGCAAAACUUUCUAUACAGCCAUGAGGGGUACUUUUGGAAGACUCAUCUAUGACAUACGUAAAGACUGGUUUUUAAGUGGGGCAGAAUAUGAGAUGGCAACAGGUCAUGCCCAUAUGGAGCAUCAAGGUCUGUGUCUCACACACAUCCAGAUGUUGAUGUCUGAGGAAAGCAAAGAUGUCUCUUCUUUUGAAAGGACUUUAAAGCAUCUAUGAUGUUGCUCUGUCAUGAGAUAAUCUCCAGAGGUGGUACUUAGGGAAGCUACUGGGCUGAAGCCAUUAAGAAACCUGAAAGUUAUUAAUGAGAGGAGAGAAAAACACUCAGAGAUUAGCCAUAAACUACGAACUAGGGUACAUACUAGCACCCGCUACUAUAAGGAGCUGAUGCUUCUCUGUUGGAGUUAAUGAUUAUUAAGAACUACUAGCAAAUCCUGCAGAUAGGACCCAUAGACACUGCUGAGUGAAUGAUAAUUGGAACCAUUAUCCCUGUGAGCCACCACAAGAAAUACUACAAAUGAGGAGAGAGAGGCUUUCCAGCCCUCUUCCUGUCUCUUUCCAAAAUAAGAGAUGUUAAUCCCCUUACCUACUGGGAACUCUAGGGAAAUAUGACAAAUGACAAGUGUUGGUCUUUCAAUAUAUUCCAGAAGUGUAAUUUUCUGGUUGCAUAAAAGACCUGGGAUUAUAGUUCAGCUUUCAUACUUUUAAUAAUUAUAGUAACAUUUGAACCCUAUACUGAAUAUCAUCUACUGUUCUAAGUAGACUGCAUGUAUUCACUCACUUAAUGCAACUAUUAUGUACCAUUAUUUUAUCCGUUUUACUAAUGAAAAGUUAUGUAUACAAACUUUAACUUGCUCAAGCUCAUCUAUUUGUAAAUGUUAAACUCAGUUAACUCUGGAGCUUAACUACUAAUUACUUGCACAAUAUAGUAGACAGAAAAAAAAAUGAACCUGUGUGUAUGUUAUAUUACAUAGAAGGAGUGAUAUGAGGAGACUAUCCUGGAUUAUCCAGAUGCCUCCAGUAUAAUCACAUGGGUCCUUAAAAGGAGACUCUUUUCCAGAUGCAGUUGGAAAGAGAUGUGACAACGGAAAAAUGGUCAGAGAGAUACACAAUUGCUGCCUUAGAAAAUAGAAGAAGGGGACUAUGAGCCAAGGAAUGUGAACAUUCCCAGAAGAUAGGGAAGGCUGGGAAAUGGAUUUUUACCCUGGAGAUUUCAGAAAAGAAGGCAGCCUUGCCAACAUCUUUGUUGAGACCCAAAAGAACUCUAAAAUGAUAAAUUUUUGAUGUUUUAAGCCACUAAGUUCAUGAUAAUUUGUUCCAGCAGCACUAGAAAACUAAUACUUAUUGCCUCAUUGAAAAAAUAUACUUACUGAGGUUUUACUUUUACUGAGGUUUUUCUCUGCCUUGGGCAAGAUGAUUUUACUAUAAUUUUAGAUAAUAGAUUAUUUCAGUAGUUUUGAAUAUAUUACUUGAUAGUUUGACCUACAUUUAGCACUCUACCAAAGUUUACAAGAAGCUGAACAUAUUCUAGAUGUUGCUAACAGAAAGUUGAUACGAUGCAACUCUUUGGAUCUUUGAUGCAUAUAAGAUGCUUCCUAUUGUUUAGAAAAUUAGGAGACUGAUUUUCACCAAACAGUAGAAAGUUAUUGUUCUAAUUUUCAGAAUACAGAGUCUGAUGAGUCCCCACAAAAUUCUGUCACUGAUGCCAAAGUUUUCUUUGAAGUCUCAGAAUGAAAUGAGUUGUUGAAAGGGUGACACAUUACCACAAUGAGCUUUUUCAAAGCAAUGUCAAAGUUUUCAUAUUUCUCAUCAAUAUUCAUCAUACCAGAGACUGCAAAAUGGGCCCAGAUUAAUUGGUCUCUUUCAUUUAUAUACCUGAAUACAAUGAAACAUUAGUGCACUGGCCUUUGGAUGCAGUCUUUUGGGAAACAUUCCACCUCCACAAUAAGGAACGCCACAGACCAUUAUCAAAUGUAGCACUCAGUGCUGUUUCCUCUAACACGGCAAUAUGCUGGCAGAAAGGAUAUAUAUAGAGAAAAAGCUAUACCAAUGGGCAGAAGCAGUUUCCUAGUUGAUGAAAUUUAUUGAUCGAAAAGAAAUAAUAAAGCUUUAGAAAAAAGUACAGGCUUUUGGAAGACUCAGGCUAUCAUAAAAAUAAACUUCAAGGCCAGUCAUCAGAACAGCAGUUGAAUAUCACAAAACCAUGUGAUGGGUGAAAUUAAACCUGCUGCAGACACCACAUUCGUAACCUCUAAGCAUUCAGCUUGUAGAGUGUUGUUAGUUGCUCUCAGCAUUGCAAAUGUGAUGGCCAUAAUUCAGCUCCUAUGGUCAGGAUUCAUACAAACCUUAUUAAACUGUUCCUGUGCACUGAGCUGAAGAAAAGCCAUCAGAAUUAAUCAAGUAGCAGAGACUUUGACUGCAAGCAUCAAAUAAGGUCAAAACAGCAUCACUCCAAGUACCAAGAGAUGUGGUGUCUCAUUUUUGGCAAUAGUAUCAUUCUGCUUAUGGUACAGAGACCCCAACAGUAAAAAAUGGAAUCUCUGGGGAACUGAUUAUAUCUACAGUCUCCUGGAUUAAUGGAGUGUGGCAGCUGUGUGCCCAAUGUGGCAAAAGACCCAGUAGGGUUUUAUUUGUUGUCACAACCAGUGCCAUGCAGUGGUGGCUUAAUCAUUGUUCUUUAUUAGCUAUCCUUUUUCAAACAACUGGUUUUCUCUUUUCUUCUAAAUUGACCAUUUUACAACUAAAUUGGCCAAAGAUCACUCUUAAUAAUGCCACCAUUAACCUAAAAUUUCAUCUGUUUUUACGGUGUCCUUAACAUACUAUAAGUAAUACAUAAUCAUUGUAGAAACAUAAGAAAACACUGAUUGAAAAAAUAAAAUUGAUGUCCUAUUACCAGUAUAAUCACUGUUAAUGCUUAGGAAUUAUCUUUCCAGAUAUUUUCCUACACAAAUAUUAACAGAUUUCAUAUUAACAGAUUUCAGCAAAAAUGGUGUCAUAGCACACAGCCUUUUAUAAGCUACCUGUUCACCAAGCAUUCACCUAUUUCUCUGUCAGCCUUGUGGACUUCAUUCUGUUUUACAGAUUUACCAUAAUUGCUUUAAUCAAUUCCCUGUUUUUAGACAUUUAGCUAUAGUUUAUAAUUUUGUUAUUACAAUGAUACUAUAGUGAACAUAUUAGUACAGGUAUGUUGCAUAUUUUUUCAGUUAUUUUCUUAAGAUGAGUUCUAGAAAUCUAAUUACUUGAUUAAAAUUUAUGAAUUUUUUAGUGAUUUGGGUGCCUGUAAUUUCCUCCUUAAAGAAGAAGGAAAAUUUUAAAUUAGAAAGCAAAAAAUCAUUCAAAGACUUUAAGCUAAUUAGUUUUUAAAGAUCUGAAAUGCUAUAUUAAAACAUGAGUAAUAGUGGUUUAAUUUGGGUUUGUUAAAUCAUUUACACACACACGUGAAUGCAUACAUAACAUGCAAACACACAUGCAUACACACAGUUUUGUGUUUCAGUGAGGUCAUUAAAUUUAUAAACCAGCAAAUGACAUGAUUUUCUAAAUAAAAGGCAACGAUGUAGAAAUUUUAUCUUCUGUUUUUGUUAAUAACUCUUAGGAAUUUUUAAAAAUUAAUAAUAAUUGGAUUGAGAUCUUAUUCACAUACCAUAAAAUUCACCCUUUUAAAGUAUGUGGUUAAGUAGUUUUGUAUAUUUGAAGAGUUGUACAACCUUCACCACUAAUUUCAGAUUAUUUUUAUGACCUUCAAAAAGAAACUCUGGGUUGGGGUUUAGUUUAGUUGUAGAACAUUUGCCUAGCCUGCAUGAGUAGGACCUGGGUAGGAUCCCCAACACUGCAAAGGAAGGAAAAAAGAAAACUCUAUGUAUUAACAAUUGCUCCCCACCAACUGCUCCCCAGCCCCGGGCAAACACUAAUCUACUUUGUUUCUAUGCAUUUGCCUAUUAUUUUUGUUGUUCUUCUUCUUCAUUUUAAGCUACAUAUGACAGUAGAGUGCAUUUUGAUACACUAUACAUACAUGAAGUGUAACUUACUCUAAUUAGGAUUAUAUUCUUGUGGUUGUACAUAUUGUGGAGUUUCUGGUGAUGUAUUCAUAUAUGAACAUAGGAAUGCCCAAUUCAUUCUACUGUCUUUCAUUAGCCUAUUCUUGCCAUUUUAUUUAGCAUAAUUUUUUUUGCAUGGAUUAGUACUUCAUUCCAUUUUAUCACCAAACAAUAUCCCCGUGUAUGGAUAUACCACUUUAUGUAUUUAUCAGUUUAUUCUUUGAUUGUCAGUUAAAAUCUUGUCAUCAUCAUGCUUAUAACCCUUUGGUAACUCCUGUAACUGAUAAAAAUGACUAUGUAAGGUCAUUUUGAUCUGGUCCUGACCUAUCUUUGGGCCUGAUUUUCUGCCACAUUUCUAACCCCAUCCACCCCACUCCUCCACCAUGAAUCUAGGCAUCACUACUCACUUCUGUGUGUGCUAUGGCCUCUAUCUGCCAUAUCCUUCCCAUCUUCAUCUGUGUGGCUGCCUUCUACUUCUCCUUCAUGAUCUAGCUGUCAGAUAUCUAUCUCCUUUUCUGGGAAGCCCCUACACACCAUGUACAAGCUGGGUACAACAUCUCUUAUACCUCCAUCCUAACAGUUGUCACACUAUUUAGUAAUUGUUUGUUUUCUUGACUUCUCUUCCACUAGAUUGUGAGCGCAUUGAAACACAGAAAUUAUAUUCUAUAUAUCUCCGUAUCAUUAGCAAUCAAAGCUCAUAAGUGUUUGCUUUAUGUCCAUGAUAAAUAAAAUUAACUUGACUUUUUAUAAACUGAUCAAUUUGAGGAUUUUAUAACUAUGUAGACAAAAAAUGUAUUUAGAAUGUAUGUUGGAUUCUUUUAUGCUUAAUUCUUGUGUAUAUUCUAUGUGAAAAUUCUCAGUAAAACACACAGUAAUUAACUCAUUAAAAUAAACCAAUAUGUAUCUACAGUUCUAGUAGGGCCUUUAAAGUAAAUGUUGAAUUUAAAACCUAUCAAGUGGGUAACAUUUUUAAUAUAGAAUGACUUAACACAGAUUCAGAAUUUAUUUAAAAACUGUUCAAUACCAUUUCAAAUGAUUUAAGAAAGAAUUUUUAUGAAUAUAUCAUGAGAUAAAUUUAUAUAUUAUAAUUGUACUUUGAAAACAAGAUGAGUUUUUUCUGGUUUUGUUUUUGCAAGUUGACAUGUCACUUUUCUUAAAAUUGGUUUGAAGAGUUACUUAAAGUAAUAUAAUAAUCUUUAAAGCUUGCAUGUGUAAACUGUUUUUUAAAUCUGUUUUAUCUGUUUUCUAUGAAAAUGUGUUUCAAUGGGCCUAGUUGGUAAUGGAAUCCUAACCUAUGUUACUUCUGACUUAUAGGGUAUCUUUGUUACUAGGGUUCAGCCUGAUGGGCCAGCCUCCAACCUUCUACAGCCUGGUGAUAAGAUUCUUCAGGUAAGACAGAUAAAAGCAAUGCAUGCAAAUGCUGACACUGAAACAAACAUGAACCAUGUUAUUAAGUUAAAUGACUUGAAUUAAAUGAUUGAAAAUAAAUCCUCACUUUUUUAAAUUUUCCUUUAUUAUUUUGAAUUUGAGAAACAAGUCAAAAACAAUUUGAUCUGAUAGAAUCCUAUGUCCCUAGCAUCUAACAUAUUACCUGGCACAUAGUAGUGUUUUUUCCUAUUUUAAUUGAGUUGAAUGGAAUUACAUGAUAAUAUAAGAAGAAUUUAUAUGUGUGUGCAUGCAGGUACACACAUAUGAACCUAUGCAUAGUUAUUAAGUAUAAGUGAGAGUGAUUGAGUGCCCAUUUAGGGUAUCCAUGUGACUUUAGAUAAGGGAGAAAGGCAGGUCCAUAUUUAAUUUCUCAACAGGAUGCUUAUUACUCGUUGAAUACUGUGGAACACAUGAUUGUGUUUGUCUAUUCCCCUGCACAGAUGAACAUGAGAUUAGCUAGAGAUAAGGUGACUUUUUAAAAUAUACUGUCCAAUGGAAGGACUUUGUUUAACUUAAAUUGCUGCAUUUUAGUUAAGGGUCACUCCAGUAAUCAGUUAAUAAAUGCUCAACAUAACACUAUCCAUUUUGCUUUCAUUGUCCUCCUCUCUGAAUUCAUAUACCAUGUAAGAGGUGCUUAAUCAUUUCCUAUGUUAAAGGGAAAGGCUGUUAAGUAUUGUCAGUGUAUUUAUGAUUCGUAUUUUGAGUCCCAAAAUUUCCCACUAUAUAAACGGAUGCAACUACCUGAAAUUGCUGUUUAGCAAUUUUUUAAAAAUUGAAAUGAUUCAACAUAAUAUAUUAGAAGGUUUAGAUAAACUGAGAAGACAGGCCAUGUAGGAAAGGAAUUUUCAUCAGUUCAAAACAACUCUAAAGAGAUUUUCUUUCUCCUAUUUAAGAAAAUCUUAGAAAAGUAGAAAUCAUAUGUAGCCCAAUACAUAUAUAACAAGAUUUCUUUAAAAUUUUAUCCUCAAAAAUAUUUUUUCAUUUAUUUAUUUAAAUAAUUUAAAUAUUUAUUUAAAUAUUUAAACACAGUAAAAUGUGUUUUGACAUAUUAUACAUACAUUAAGUAUAAUUUAUUCUCAUUUGGAUCCCAUUCUUUUGGUUGUACAUGAUAUGAAGUUUCACUGGUCAUGUAUGAACAUAGGAAAGUUACAUCGGAUUCAUUCUGCUGUCUUUCAUAUUCCCAUCCCUCCUCCCUUCCCUUCAUUCCUCUUUGUCUAAUCCAAUAAACUUCUAUUCUCCCCACACACAACCCUGACUUAAUGUGUAUUAGCAUCCACAUAUCAGAGACAACAUCGGUCUUUAGUUUUUUGGGACUGCUUAUUUCACUUAGCGUGAUAGUCUCUAGUUCCAUCCAUUUACCAGCAAAUAUCAUAAAGUCAUUCUUCUUUAUGGCUGAGUAAUAUUCCAUUGUGUAUACACGCCACAUUUUCUUUAUCCAUUCAUCUGUUGAAGGGCACCUAGUUUGAUUCCAUUGCUUUGCUAUUGUGAAUUGAGCUGCUCUAAACUUUGAUGUUGUUGUGUCACUGUAGUAUGCUGAUUUGAACACUUUGGGGUAUAUACAGAAGAGUAGGAUAACUGGUCUAAUCGUGGUUCCAUUCCAAGUUUUCUGAGGUGCUUUCCAGAGUAGUUGCACCAAUUUGCAGUCUCACCAGCAAUGCAUGAGUGUACCUUUCAUCCAUAUCCUCUCUAACAUUUAUUGUUACUUGUAUUCUUGAUAAUUGCCAUUCUGACUGGAGUGAGAUGGAAUCUCAGUGUAGUCUUAAUUUGCAUUUCUCUAAUUGCUAGUGAUGUUGAAUAUUUUUUCAUACACACAUAUAAAUUCUUCAUAUAUUACCAUAUAAUUCCAUUUCAUAUUGACCAAUGAACUAAUAAGAUCAUGACCAGCUACUCAAACUUUCAAAACUGAUAGUUCUCUGAAAAGACAAAGGGCUGUCCCAAGCUGAGGCAAUAUUGCUAUGAAGCACUGAUCAGCCUGGCUGGGUCCAAUCCAGGCAGACAGAAGAUGGCAGUUUAUCUUUUGAUAAUUGAAACAAAGGGCUAGGGCUGUAGCUCAGUGGUAGAGCACUUGCCUUGCACAUGGGAAGCCCUGGGUUUGAUUCCCAGCACCACAUAAAAACAAAUAAAAGUAAAGAUAUUGUGUCCAUCUACUUGAAACAAAAAAAAGACAUAAAAUAAUCUAAAGCUUUUCUUCACCACUUUAACAUAAAGAUCUCUGGUUUUGAUAGCCUAACUAGUCUUGCAAUCCUAAUUAUUUUACAUUCUAUCUAUGGGCCUCAGAUUUGUUAUGUAAAAAAUAAACUAUAGUUUGUAAUAUAUCUGAGGUCCCUCUCAGUUCAGAAACUCACUCGUUUGAUAAUUUUAUAAAUUGUUGUGAAAGGCAGCCAAGAGUGACCUAACAACAUGACUCCCUAACACUUCGUAAAUGUUCAUUAGCAAAGGAAAUGGCAAGGGGUCUUCUCUACUGAAUUUCAAAGCAACUCAGAUCUCUGACCUGUCAGAAUGAGGAAUGUUGGACUGAGAAGCAUCCUACAUACAACCUAAGACAGGUUAUGGAGUUUUCUUCAUCCAUGACAGACACAGCAAAAGAUUUUUCUCUUAUACUUAGGUUCAGAAAAGAAAUAUAAACAUAAGCAUCAUAACAAAAUUAUAUUCUGCAAAUGGGAAAAUAAAUGUCUACUUGGAGAGUAUUAGAAUACUCUUCUCUGGCCGUAAAAUUCUAGAAGGCUUGCUUCUACAUGGGGACAAGAGGGUUCAGUAUUUCUAAUCCCUCAGAGGCACAGAGAAACAGCAAAGUGCACCAAGGAAUGGAUUCCUAAAGCAAGAAGCAGAAAGGAAUGAUCAGCUCAAUUAAUUAAAAGCCAAGAACACCGUGAAACAGCUGCACCCGGAUGCCUCCUUUCUCCAAAAUGACAAUCGAUGAUGUAACAUUUAAAUCUUGCUAUAAAACUCAUUUGUAUCUGGUAGAAUAAAAUCAAAGUCUGUUUUCAAGAAAAGGAAAAAAAAUCCACAUAGACCUUAAUCAAAUAACUUACUGUAUUUACAGUUUCAUUCAUACUAUUUUAACACCAAAAGUAGCCAAUUAUGCUCUAUGAAAGAAAUAAGAACAACUAAUUCUGAACUGGAAUUGUUGCCUGUAUCAGAGCCCAGGGGACAAGAUAAAUUUUUGACUCCAUAAUACUAUUGGCUCUUAGUUUGAAGAAUGAUGGGGAGGGCUGAGGCUGGGACUCAGUGGUAGUACACUUGCCUGGCUCGUGUGAAGCACUGGGUUCGAUUCUCAGCACCGCAUAAAAAUAAAGGUCUAUCAACAACUAAAAAAAUAUCUUUAAAAAAAGAAUAAUGGGAGAAAAUGGGUUAUGAGUUAAAAAAGUUAUCUGUUACUUACAAGAUUAGUAUUAUGUGUUGUCACUACAGCCAAUUUAUUUACAAAGCUGAGUGACAAUGAAAACCCUGGAAAAGCAAGAUGAAAGGAAGCAAAACAAAGAUGGAGAGCCCAAAGGGAUGACAGUUACUGUGUUUGGUAUAACCCAAUAGCAAAGAACAAAAGAGACAUAAGAUAAUAAAAGAGGUACCUUUCCCAAAUCCCAAACCCCAAAUUUAUUAAAUAAUAUUUUUUACACUCUUUUUACUCACCCCUCUUACUCUGCUAUGGUAUUAUUAGCAUGUUAUUUGAAUUAUAUGAUGUGUUCAUUAAGUGAUGAUGUUAAUUAAAACAUAUUCACAUGAUUUUCCUGUCAUUUUAUGAUUCAUUUUCCCAGCAAAGACACCCUAUAAUUAAUGAGCUUAUUCAAGUGAUUUACAGUGCUACUUGGCUUUAAGACAAUGUGGCAUGUGGGAAGAAUACAGAGAUAGGAGAACUGACCCUUCACAACCUCCCCUUCUGUAAAGCUGAGUUGUAUGACUGAGAGAAAGAAAGGAAAAAGAAAAGCACAUGGAUCACAAAAGAAUGUUAUUCGAUUGAACCAUGUGAAUUUGCCAAUAUGCAAACAUUAUUGAAAUGGCCAUUUUGUUACUUUAACAUCAUAGUCUCUUCUAAUGUUUUUUUCCAGUUAAAAAUUUCAGUCCAUUUCAUUAAAAUUAAAAUUAUAUCUUAAAAUACACCUCAAUAUAGGAGAUUUAUUAAUUAUAAUUACUCUGUGGAAAUAAUUAAUAUAUUAUACUUGAUUGUCAAUAAUGUGAUUCAUAGUGAUAAACCUAAAGAUCACUUGUAAGUAUGUCAUGUUCUAUUAUUAAAGGUAGCUGCCCCCUAUCCCUUUUAAUGACCAGCUCUCUUCCCCCAAACACAUGCCUAACUUUGGUAGGAGAAGAGAAAUGAAAUAAUUUAUAGAGAAUUAGUUAAUGGCAUCUAUAUUUUACCAAUUACAAAAACAGAUUUUUUCCAAUAUGAGACAUAAAAAUAUGCUCCCAAUUGAAAAUAAUUUUAUAGUCUCUUCUACAUUAUCAUUUUAAGGGUUUUGGAAUCAGUAAGCAAAAUAUCUGCCUGAUCUGUGACUAUAUUUCUAACAUACCAAAAAUGAAAUAAUCAAUGUGUUAACAAUUCAGACAAACCAGGUAUCCCUCCCCCACCCCCACCUGCCCUGUCUUAAACACCUAGGCCUUACAAUUCUUAAAGACAAUUCAUCUGGGCAUGGUGGCACGUGCCUGUAAUGCCAGCAGCUCAGGAGGCUGAGGCAGGAGGAUCACAAGUUCAAAGCCAGCUUCUGAAAUUUAGCAAGGUCCUAAGCAACUUGGCAAGACCAUGUCUCAAAGUAAAAAUAAAUAAAUAAAUAAAAAGUGCUGGGGAUGUGGCACAGUGGUUAAGCCCCUCUGGGUUCAAUUUCUGGUACAAAAAAUAAUUAAAAAAAAACAAUAAAUAAAUAAAUCAACAAAUAAACUUAUGAACAAAUACUUAGACUUUUGACUUUUAGAGUUAUAAUUAUUGUGCUUUUUACUGGUUUUUAAAAUUAUUUGUUAGUGUUUUUUUUCAACUCAGAGCGCCAUAUCUUGUUCAAAAUCUUGGAGCUUGAUGCCCAAGAGGCUGAUUGUAUCACUGCUCUCUUCCAUAAUCUCAGAGAAUCCCACUGUAUAUCCUGAUAAGUGUUUUAUAAAGGAAUACCAUUAGAGGACUUAUAAUAGAUAAGAGGGAAGUCAUGUACCCUCAAAGGAGCUCCUCACUAGGGGCACAAGACAUAUGUAUGCAGAUCUGUUAGAAAACCAGUGAAGUAUUUGAUUUUGUGAUAUAACUAAUAAAUGUGAAGUAUUAAGAAAAUGAAAUGAUUAAUAUAGGAAGGUAUUUCUUGGGAUACAAAGGGUGGCCACUGAAAACCAAAAUAAAAGCCAAGAUGGUUGGCCUGCUCAACCCACCUCACCCAUUGAGCCAGUUGGUGAGUGGGAGACGGAACACAAAUCACAGAGCUCCCUGGUAUGGAGGGAACAGAGGAAAACAAGUUUCUGCCUCUGGAUUUAACAAAGGACAAAGGAAUGAGCUGGAGGAAGCCUGAAGGCCAGACUGGCCCUGGGCACUCAGGAGAGGGUAAAAGGCUUACUCCAGAAAGAGUAUGGAGCACAGAAGAGAGAAUACCAGGCAGAAAGACCCUACGGUCACAGGUUAGAGGUUAGAGUCGUGAAGAAAGGAAGCCUUGGAACUUAAGAAUGUUUCCCAUGGAGUUGGAGAAUUCAAACACGGAGGAGUUGGAGUGAGGGCAAUGAUGGGGUAGAGGAGAUGGCAAGAUACAGCUUCCAGCCUCAGAAUAUGAGAAGUAAGUUCAGAUUGAAGUCUAAGUGAAAUGUCUGUGGAUGGCCAUGUCUGUUGCACACAGUUACAUCUGAAUAUAGCCACUGAAUCAAACAAACUUUCCUUGUCUGAAUGAAAGGUCUAUGGAUCUGUGUCUGUUAAUAAGCAGAAGGUGUGAUCAGGCACUGACAGCAUUCUUUUAGGCAAAGUUCAUUUAUUCAAUAGCCCCAUCUGUCAAAAACAAACAUGUAAACUGAACAUCAAAUUGCUUCUGAGGACCCCUAGUUAUUGUAACUCAGCCCGUGGCUUUCUCCCAUAGUGUCAGUGUUCAUAGUUAUCACCAUGACUCUCUAAGAAAGGGUUAGAGUACAUCCAUUUUUCUGAAUUUUAAAAAAUUACUCCAAAAAAAACCCUGCAAGAAUAGUAAGUGAGAAAUAUUUUUUAUGGUUAAAAUGUUGUGCCCUUAAAGAAAUAAACUGAGAGUAUUUAAGAAUCCCCCUAAAGGUUUUCCAACAAUACUAAAUAAGUUAGGCAUUUCUAUAGUUUAUUUGGUGGUUGAAAAUCAAAAUUCCAGUGUUCUUGGGGAAAAGGGAUAAUAGUCAUGUAACUCGUAGUGUUCAGAAAAAUUAUUGUAUAUGAUGAUAUAAUACUUGGGAGAAUAAGAGUUCUUUUUAAAAAUUAUAGUUUGAAGCCGGGUGCCGUGAUACAUACCUAUAAUCCCAGUGGCUGGGGAGGCUGAGGCACAAGUUCAAAGACAGCCUCAACAGACUCAAGGUGCUAAGCAACUUAUGAGAUCCUGUCUCUAAAUAAAAUACAAAAUAGGGCUGGGGAUGUGGCACAGUGGCCAAGUGUCCCUGAGUUCAAUCCCCAGUACCCCUAAAAAGUUAAAAUUAAAAUUGAAAAAUACAGGUUGGUUAUAAGACAACUAAAAAUAGGUGGCACAUGCCAGUAAUCCCAGUGGCUCCAGAGACUGAGUCAGGAGAUCAUGAGUUCAAAGCCAGCCUCAGCAAAAGCAAGGUGAUAAGCAAUUCAGUGAGAUCCUAUCUCUAAAUAAAAUACAAAAUAGGGCUUGGGAUGUGGCUUCGUGGUCAAGUGCCCCUGAGUUCAAUCCCCUGUACUCAAAAAAGAAAAAAAAAAAACAGGUUUUAAAAAAAAUGUGUGAUAAACUCUGUAUAUACAUACCAAAGUUUCACUAUAUAUUAUUAUUAUUUGUUUAGUUUUGUUCAUAAUAUUUAAAGUUGUACCACAGAUAUCUAUUUCAAAAAUUGAGAAAAUACUUUUUGAAAAUUAAAAAAAAAUAGUAUUUUAAGUAUUAAGUAAAAUUUGAAAACAAAUAAAGACAAGUCAAGCCCAUUAGGCUGUUCUAUCCUCCAUAGCUGGCUAAUGUGAAAUAUAAUGAUAAUUAAGAAUCUUUACUCUGUCAUCUAACUCAAACAACCUUGCAAGGUGUCUGUUGUUGACAGAUGUUAAAUAACUUAUUGAGCUCAUUCCAUUAUACCAUACUGAUUCUCUAGAGCAAAUUUUACUGAUUGAUUUGUUUAUUUGCUUAUUUAGAAAAUAUCCAUCAAAUGCCCACUCUGUAAAAAAUAUUGUGCCAAGUGGUAUAAACAAUACAACAGAGAAGGUAACUAUAUUGCUGCUUUUACACAGUCUAAUCUAGGAAGCAGAUGCACCCAAAUUAUACAGAGCAGAAAAUGGAGGAAGACAAGAAAGAGUCAAAUAUCAAACAUUUAAUAAAAUGAACCCAGUCCAAUUGGUCCUGUUUUAUUUUAUUUUACUUUUUUGCACUGCUGGGGGUUAAACCCAGAGUCUCACAUAUGCUAGGCAGAUGCUAUAACAUUGAGCUAUAUCACAGAUUCCUAGUUGCCUUUUUUAUUUUAAUUUUUAUUGUUGGUUGUUCAAAACAUUACAUAGUUCCUCGUUGCCUUUUAAGAGCAAGCUAUCCAGCAAAACAGAAACUAGCCUGACUCCAAAGAGCACCCUGAAAGUGAGGGGUUGAUUUUCAGGUUAUUCUUUUCAUGGUAAAAGGAAUAGAGUGUAGCUGCUUGGAAAUUGCCUUGUAAAUCAAAGUAGGAAAUUAAUUUUCCAGAGACACAUGUGACUUCUUUGACAAGAAAACAGGCAUUCUCAGAUCAGAGCAGAUAAGUAAGUUUCUUCAGAAACACUAUUAGCAGUUCUUCACCCAAGUUUCUACACAAAUAAUUCCUAGAGCCUUCUGUUAAGUCUACUCCACUUUUUUUUCCUGAACUUUAUUAACCUUUGUUUCAAACUUUAUUCCCAAUCUUCUUCAGCUUAAUUAGCUUCAAAAAAUAAAUUGUGUACAAGCAAAAAUUGAAAAGAGCUUCAGUGUCCAAGGGGCUUGGUCUUAAAAACAGUAGAGAUCUAGAUUUUUAUCAGAUGCAUAAACAAAACAAUUUUAAAAAGCAGUCAUAAUAUAAAAUAGCAGUAACUUCUUCAAGUUUAUUGUCUUCAGAAGUUGAUCAGUUCAGUUUGCCUCAUUCUUAGAAGGCUCAUCACAAUUCUCCAUAAGAUCUGGAACUUUGCCAGGCACCCUGGCACACGCCUAUAAUCCCAGCGGCUGGGGAGGGUGAGGCAGGAGGAUCAAGAGUUCAAAGCCAGCCUCAGCACAAGUGAGGUGCUAAGCAAUUCAGUGAGACCCUGUCCUCUAACUGAAAUGCCAAAUAUGGCUUGGGAUGUGGCCCAAUGGCUGAAUGCUCCUGAAUGCAAUCCCUGGUAUAUCCCCACCCCCCCCCACCCCCCAAAAUUCCCAAGUCCCUAAAAAAACAUUUCCAAAAAAAAAAAAAAUCUGGAACUUCAUCAUCAUCAUCUUCUCCAGUAACAAGUGGUGCUUUUCCAUCCACAGAUUCUUGGGCAGAGCUUCAGCCAAUCUCCUUAAACUAGCCAGACUGUCUGUACCAAGCUGGUUUAAGAUGCUGGUAGCAUUUCUGUCAGUUGCUUUGUCUCAGCAUGUCCUGUAAUAGUGAAAGUUUUUGCUCCCAGAAAUGCCUUGACUUGAAGAUUGCUUAAGUGGAUCACUGUUCCUUGGUUUGUAAACAUAUUCACCUCUUCAACACCAGAGAUAUUGUUUACCCCUAACUUCUUUAAGGAGAACUAAAGUUUUUUAUCAUCUGCUGUAGCUGUUCCAUGACCCAUCACAUUCUUUCUGUGAGAAGUUUCUUUCCCACCAAUAUGCACUUGUGCCUGCAGUUUGGCAAGUUUUUCUUGGUUUAUGAUAGUUUCUUUCAUCUUGUCAGAGCAGAAAUGGACUGCGCCAGGGACUAGGAUUGGUGCUCAAGGGGUCUCAAGCAGACCAGCUUGGUGUAUACCAAGUCCAUUCUCUCUUGCCCAUGUCUCUUUUGAGCCUGAAUUCAGAUAUUCAAGCUGUAGUACAUGUGUCCACUUAAGAUAGUAGAGAAUUUAUUGUUAUGUUUUGUAAAAAUUUGUUUUUCUACUAAAAAAAAAUCAAGACUUCAAAUUUUCUCAUAUUUACAAAGAGUAAUGUAAAUUUUUUAUGAGAACUAUCUGAGAAGUAAAGGUCUAUACUUCAGAUUUUUGAUAGAAAGUUUUAUAAAUGACUUGGCACAGAGUCAAUGUGUAUUGAUUAUGCAGUAUGUUCUAUCUUAAAUAUAUUCCAAUAUUUAAUGAGAGUAUUCAUUCUAUCACCUGAAAAUUCUAAAAUGGGAAUUAACUCCAGGUUGUCAUGAGAAGCACAGUUAUAAAUAUCUAAGAUUCCUACUGUGUCUCAUAAUAGCUGGCUGUCAAGAUUGAAUAGCAUGAAGUCUUACCCUUAUAGCUAUAGUUCAAUUGCUAUAUUUUUUAGUUUUCCCUCAUCCCAAGAACUGCAGGCUUUCAAAGUAUAUAUGUAAUAUACAAAAUAUAUGUGUACUGGUCCUUUAAAUGUCUGUCCCUUGAGGAUGAGUUUAAAUCAAUCAAAAAUCACGUGCCCCAGUCUCUAAUCUGAUUUUCCUUUUGUAGUCUAAAAUGAUUUGUCUUGUCCUUGCUCUUGGAUAAUCCCAUCAGAACGGGGGCGAGCCUUUUCCAAGCCUAGUUUUUAAAUUUAGAUCUUUGGCUAAGAAUACAACAGAAUUCCUAUGAGAAUUACAGCCUCAUCUGGAAAGUUUCUGCAGUAUAACCAUCCAUAAUGUAUCCAUUUAACAAAACAUUUACCAGAAGGAAAUUGGAGAUAAAUCCAGAAAGGAACAAGAGGAAGAAAUCCAGAAACUAAGUGUGUUUUACAGUAAAUUGACAAGCUAUAAUUGUGAAGCUGGAAUUGCAAAUAAUGUUUUCCAUUAAUCCUCAGAUUUUUUACAUCUAAAUCAUGAAAAAGGGAAAGUAAAAAUAUUUUCUGGCACAAAAGAUGUCAAAUAGAUGUGAAAUAGGAGGGAUAUCUUUUGAAAGCAAAAUAAAGAUUACAAUAAAAUGUUCCUUCAUACUUUCAAAUCAUCUAAGGCUAGAAAACCCAUUAAUUACACAUUCUUGAAACAUAACAUUUUCAGAAUAUCUUUUCAUUUCCUAGAUUGUUUUCUCAUUAACUUCAUUGAAACUUAAUAAGCCAGUCAUUUGUUUCUCGUUUCUCACGAGAAUGCAAUUUCCUCAAGAUUGCACACAUUUUAUUUGAAUCUGAUAGUGUGCUUAUAUAAAGCAUAUAUGUAUCCAAAAGAGGCAACAUUUUAAAUUUUCAUUAAGCUAGAAUUUAUUCUUCAUAUUAUCUUUUGCAUUUAUAUUGUGCAUAUAUUCAAAAUGUUAUAUGUGUAAAUGUAUCAUAUGCAUUUAUUUUUCAAAGCAUCAUUGAAUUUAUACUCUACAAUUGAUAUUGUACAGUACCAGCCUUUAUUUCCUCAGCCUCUUCUAUUCAUACACACAAACCAGCCACAAAAUUCCUCUAGUUAAAAGAUUGAGAUUCAUGCCAGUUCCAUGACAUCUAUCUAAAAUUCCAGCUACUCAGGAGGCUAAAGCAAGAGGAUUCAUGCCAGUUCCAUGACAUAUAUCUAAAAUUCCAGCUACUCAGGAGGCUAAAGCAAGAGGAUCUCAAGUUCAAGAUCAACCUGAGCAACUUAGUGAGACGUAGUGUCAAAAUAAAAUAAUUUUAAAAACUGGGAUGUACCUCAAUGGUAGGUCAUCCCGGGUUCAAUCCACAGUAAUGAAAAAAAUAUUUUUUUUCUUAAUUUUAUUUGGAAAAGCCCUACAAAUACAGUGACAUGAUCCUUUGAUUCCUGUCUGAACUAUUCAAGACAUAAACCAGAUAGCCAUUUUCAUAGAAACAAAUAUAAGUUCUUUUUGCUUUUUUGUCCUACAGAUGAAAGAAGUAGAUUCUCUAGAGCUAAGGUUCUGUCAUCUCUUCCACUCAAACCCUUUUUCCAGGCUCUUCUGUCAUUGCUGUCCCUGGAAACAGGCAUAACACAAUGCUGCUUAUCAAGAAAUAGUUAAAUUACUACUAAAAAGUGAAUUUAUUGGGCUGGGGUUGGUAUUGGCUUAGUGGUAGAGCGUUUGCCUAGCAUGUGCAGUGGGUUUGAUCCUCAGCAUCGCGUGUAAAUAAAUGAAUAAAAUAAAGGUCCAUCAACAACUAAAAAAAAAAGCAUUAAAAAACAGUGAAUUUAUUUAACAAACCUACAAUAAGAAUUGCAACCUUGCAACAUCCAAAGAAACAAAUUGUACCAAGAUCCAGAGAGUUGACAACUGUGUCAUAAAUUCCCACCUAGCCACCUGCUGUUAUCUUGGAUGUUUCCUGUGAUCAUUCUGAUCCUAACAUUUGCAUCUAUCAAAAACUUAGGGUUUUUAUCUAAGCAAAAAAAAAAAAAAGAAAGAAAAAUAUAGUUCUUCUGAUAUUUUCAACUUCUGUUCUUAUGGCUUAAUAAAAGUCUUAUUUUUUUAAACUCUAGGUAGUGGUAGUGUAGUAACUUUAAUAGUAUUAGCUUUUCUUGAUUGUUUAUAUGUGCCAGGCCCCAUCCUAAGCACUUGACAUAUAUUAACUCAUUUGAUCUUUUGUAAACUUUCUAAACUAACUAGAGUCUUCUGGUAUUUUGGAGCCAUUCCCAGACAGUCCCUGGUUAUAUUCUUUUAAACAGGCCUCUUGAGGUUCACCAACCCUCUAAUUUUAAAUCAAAACAUGUCUGGGGACUGGAAUUACAGAGAGCACCCUAGUGUUCAUUUGACUGGGGAUCUAAUUCACCAACGUGCUUCUUGCCUUCUGGGUGGUCGGCUCUAUUUAUGUGUUUUCGGGGCUCUGACUCUAGUUUGUAUGUAGUAAGUGCAAAAGCCAAAAGCUGGUGCUUUCAAGCUGUUCUCAGAGCUAAGUUAUGAAGGGGUCUGUUGUCCCCGAGUCAGCCUGGAUUGUGGUUCUCAACAUCAUGAAGUUUGGUUUAUCAGAACCAGAACGGAGUUGAGCCCAGAAUUAAUUCAGCUUUUCUCUGCUUAUUUGUCUGUGCUGUGGAAAAUUGUGCUAACUGGUGGCACUAGAAAAUGUUUGGUUCUCUUGGAUUUUCUAUUCCUCUAUGAGCAUCCUACUUGGUCCCUCUUCAGGAUGACCCUUCCCAGGUCUCCUCAUGCUUGGGUCUCUUAGGAACUCAGGGUUUCCUGGCCUCUGGGCUCAGUGUGUGGAUAUCAUGAGGGUUUUCUCUGCUCUUUAAUUUGGUUCUCAGGCUAAAGCCAGCUUCUGCCACCCUCUGAUAGAAAGUAACAGGCCCUGUCCCCUUUUCUACCUCACUUCAAGCAGAUUUACAUAGAUAUCCCCAUUAGCAGCAAACACUGUCAUCUAUUUCUGUUCUACAUUUCCAAAACUUGAACUCCAUCCUGUUCCUGCAGUUGGAUUUUUCUGGUAAAUCUCAGUGUUUUACGUGGGAUCAUCCUGCUAUAAAACCUCACCUCUGGUGUUACUGGGACCACUCUGACCUGCUUCCUGGACUCCACUCUCCUGUUUCCAAAUGGAUGAUCAGUAGUUCCCUUGUCUCUAUUGCCAGAAAACUCCACUUGUCCUCUUAUCCUCGUUUCUCCAAGGUUUCUAUUUUCAGUUACUAGCAUCACAGUUUGAUUCUUAUUUGUUUCUUAUACCCUUGUCUAAUCAGGAGCAAAACUGUAGAUUCUUCUUAUUAGAAGUUUUCUUCCUUCUAAUCUGUUCUCUCACAAGUUUUUUGGCAUUGCCCCAGCAGACAUUCAGACUUGGUUCUUGACAUUCAGAAAAGAAAGCUCCCAUAUGGCCACCACAACCCAAUUAAGCCAGAGAUGAAACUACAAGAAGGAGAGAUUCAGCAUUUCUGUAGCUUUCAAUUCAGGACUAAAGGUUAUCUCUAUCAGUCUUUUUGGAAUAAGUGAAAUUACACCUGAUAAGAAUCAGAAUGAGAAUAGUAGCUUUGCAACCACAAUAAAGCACAGAAUUCCAGGAGAAGAUGGAGCCACAAUGCUGAAGGAGGAAAUAUUGAACAUUUUAUCAUGGCAAGUGAAUUGUCAGUUCAGAUCAUAUGAAAUGACCAUGUUCUUAUUAUUUUGGUGAAUUAUUGGGAGAAAUAAUAAGAAGGAAUAAAAAUUAGAGCAUAAAAAUAUGAAUUCCUAAACCACUCUCUGAGCUAUGUGGCUUCAGACAAGUGGCUUAGUGUCUAGGGUAGGCCUUUCAUUUAAAAAGGCAUCUUGUAUAAUAUUUUCAGUUGUGCCUAUGGCUUGCUUCCCCUGCUGGACAGCCUCCCUUUACCUAGGAACCUCCAUGUUCAUCUGUUCCUGAGUUUCUGCCCAGAGUCUACUGUAAUAUCUUGGACAGUCAGCACACAGCAGACACUUUUUGUUGAAAAAAUAAUCAUACUCAAAGUGGACCAAAUUUCUUUGAAGAUCUUUCAAUAAAGGAAUAGUUCAAAGUUAGAUGAUGGCACACGCCUGUAAUCCCAGGGGCUUGGGAGGUUGAGACAGGAGAAUCACGAGUUCAAGGCCAGCCUAAGCAAUGGUGAGGUGCUAAGCAACUCAGUGAGACCCUGUCUCUAAAUUAAAAAAAUAAAAAUAAAAAUAGGGCUGGGAUAUGACUCAGUGGUCAAGUGCCUGUGGGUUCACUCCCCGGUACUAAAAAAAGAAUAGUUCACAAUUAAUAACUAUGAUUAAUUGGCUAAGUUUUGCACCACUCAUGCCCUUAAUGCUAAUACUAUUGUCUAUUUUUAGCAUUGAUAUUAUAUCAGGUCUAAGGCUGAGGCAAAUACCAUGCUUCCAAAUCCUAGCAAAUUUCUCAUCUCUGAAACUCUGAGAUAUUUAAAUUUCAAGCAAUUCUCUGAAAACUCUCAGUGGGUUUUUAAUUCAUUGUUGUUCUAGGUUUGGGGCUGCAGGUAGAGGAAUCAGAGCCUUCACAAGUGUAUUAUUAAGUUUUAACAUACAAGAACUUCAUUAGUAAAGUUAAAUUUUAAUUUCACAAUUAAGUAUACAUUUGGGGAAAUUUAAAGACACUAAGUUAGUGUACCCGUUACAGCUAUACUUUAGUCUGAUUUUUUUUCAAAAUGAACCAAACUAUAUUAUAUAUAACUAUAAUGCUUUAAUAAAAAUUAGUUUAAUAUAUAUGUGUAUAUAUUUCAUGCAAGUUUGCUAUUUUUCUGAUGUCAGAAACAGGAUAAGAGCAGAAAGAAGAAUGUACCAUUAGCUCUGUUUUCUAUUCGCUGUUACCAUCUAACCACAAAUAAUAUGAAAUGAAACUUCAUUCUGAUUUUUAUAUAAUUUAAAUCAAGAAAUUUGAACUGUGUAACAUACCCCAAAUUCUACUCAGUUACUGUCUUGUGCCACUGGAAACAGCUAAUGCCCACUUCAUUAACAUUUUCAUUAAAUUAUUAAACAAUGCCUAGGGUUUUGCUAAUGCAAAACAAAUUUAUGCUAUAUGGAUUUCCAAGGGUUUACAUUUUGUUUCCUAGUAUUUUCCUUACUGUUUAGACAUAAUGUAGUUUAAAACAUGCAACAUUUUAGAACUUUCUUUAUCACAUCAUUGUCUAGUCAAUUUUAAAAACUACUGAAAAAGUAUUAUGUAUCAGAUGACUUUCCUCUAAAUUAUGAAGACUAUACAGUUUGCUGGAGAUGUAAUGCUGUUUGAAAUUUAAAAAACUAAAGGCAGGGGCUGGGGAUGUGGCUCAAGCAGUAGUGUGUUCGCCUGGCAUUCGCGGGGCACUGGGUUCGAUCCUCAGCACCAUAUAAAAAUUAAAAAAAAUAAAGAUGUUGUGUCCACCGAAAACUAAAAAAUAAAUAUUAAAAAACUCUCUCUCUCUCUCUCUCUCUCUCUCUCUCAAAAAAAAAAAAAAAAAAACUAAAGGCAGUGAAACAUUUAAGUGAUUGGUUAUUUGUAAUAUUAAUCAUGUUUUUAAAAAGCAUAAAAAGAGUAAGUAAAAUAACAAAGGCACUGUAUGCCAAAAAUAAGUGUCAGUCCACUGAAUAUUGAAAAAGUCAACCAAUAGGCAAUGGCCAUGUGCAUACUCCCAAUCCAUCUCAACUAGGCUACUCUGUAAACAAUUCUAGAACAACAGCCAGACUGAACUACUAUACCACAAACCUGUUUUUCACUAAUGUAUCUUCCUUCCUUCCUUGCUUCCUUCCUUGCUUCCUUCCUUUCUUCCUUCCUUUCUUACCAGGGAUUGAACUCAGGGGCAUUUAACCACUGAGCCACAUCCCAUGCCCUUUUUUUUGUAUUUUACUUAGAGACAGGGUUUCACUGAGUUGCUUAGCACCUCACUUUUGCUGAGGCUAGCUUUGAACUCGUGAUCCUACUAUCUCAGCCUCCUGAACCACUGGGAUUACAGAUGGGCACCAUCGCACUGGACAGCAGUGUAUCUUUAUGAUCAACACAGUGGCAAAGACAUACUAGAGAUUGGAUAAAUACUAGUGGAAUUAAUAAAUUGGAUUAAGUCUGGAUAAAUUGGAUAAAGUUACUUCCAUAGAUGCUAUUUCACUGUGAAUUUUAAAACUGGUAUCUUUUUGUUGCUCAGUGUUCCCUUGGAUCAUAUGAUUAGAAACAAUGAUACAAUGAUAAGCAAAUAUUUUGCAUUGAUUGUCUUGUUUUAUUUUGCAUUUGCAGGCAAAUGGACACAGUUUUGUACAUAUGGAACAUGAAAAAGCUGUAUUACUACUGAAGAGUUUCCAGAACACAGUAGACCUAGUUAUUCAACGUGAGCUUACUGUCUAAAUAUUUUCUAUAAAUAGUGAAGAUAUGUCUAGCCAGACCUAAUGUUCAAAAAGAAAUUUAUACAUAGAAACAAAUUUUGCCAAUUGCUGGACCAAUGGCAAACAUUAGUGCCAAAUGUAUAAUACUAUAUGUUAGCACUGAUCAUCCUUAAAAAUGUUAACUCUACAAAUAUGAUGUUCAUGUGGUUAUGUAUUAGUUCUAACUGUCAGCCUCUGGCUGUGCAUUGGUGCAGUUUUGUUUUUCUUUUUGUUUUUUUAAUCAAAUAAGUUUCUUCUCAAAGUGGAUUUCAUAUAAUUUCGGAGCACGGAAGCACACACAGCUCUUUAUGAAUUCUGCUCUCCAUCAGAAACACUGCCUCAAAGUUGUAUAUGCCUUUAUAUAGAAAAUACGAACAUAAAGAAUUAUAAUUCCCAUAAAAUAUUUCUAGCACAAGGUAUAUGUUGGCAUAUAUACAAAAAGAAUAUAGAGAAAAACAAUAUUUUCAUAAACUAAACAUCUCGGAUUGAGAAAGAAAUAUAUCUUAAAAUAAGACUUUACUAUAUUGAAUCUUUUUCAAUAAAAAUUCAUGAUAAUGCCUUAUGAAAGUAACUGUACAUAUGGUAUAAAGUGUUUAUAUUUGGUUCCAUAUUCAUUUACUAAAUUCUCAUAACACAGAGUGAAAUAUUUCAUAAAUUCUCCAUUUAUCACUGGGACCUGAAUAAAAAUAGGAAAAACUAAUUUGUUCAAUGCCUUUAGCUAACUACAAUACGUGCAGAGUUAAAAAACAGACUAAAGGUCAUUAUAGAUAAGUCUUUUUCACCACAAAUUUAAGCAGUGAAUGAUGGGUGGCAGGAAAUGUAUUGAUUUCUUUCUUUCCAGUUUAUGUUGAUUAUAAACUGUAGCCCCUGUGAUUUCUUUACUUGUAAAUGUGGAAUUUAUUUGUGUGCUGCUUUAUUUUAAUUUGCUACUUUUAAAUCAUUUAAAAUGAGUUUGGGGAAUUGAUAAAAUUUAUCAUUAAGAAAGACUUGUUAGAAAGUUAAUGUUGGGUGAUUUUAAAACUUUGGCAUUAAAUAUGAAACUUCAAAUAUAAUUUCUCAGAGCUGUGGUCUACCUGUAUUAAUUUUAAUGCUGUUUGUGGACAGAAAUAGAUAAAAUACUUUUUUCCCCAAAGAAUGUAUCAAGGUAUAUUAAAUUAUGAAUAUGCUCUCUCUAGAGAGUAAUAUAAGAAUAGUUAAUGUAGAAUUAUUUACUUUUACAUUGGAACUGUUUUCCUCUAUAAGAUCAAAAGUCAUCUUAUAAUCCUUUAUAAUAUUUAUUUUUGUUAAUUAUUAAUUUGAUUAAAAUAUGAAUUUUAAAAUUUAGAAUAAUUUCCAAGAAUUGGUUAUAUGUGUUCUCUCUCAUAUUUCUACAUAGCUCUUUAUAGAUAUAUAAUGAAUUUACUUCACAUGCUAUGGAUUCAAGUAUAUUCUAUUGGGAUUUUACAAUAGAAUUACAUAUUGAUGUCAUGAGAGCUCUGAGAAUAAUAUUUGUAAGUUAACUGUUUUAUGGGGACACUGAAAAUAUUGUAUUUUUGUAGGGUCUAUUAAAAUGAGUGUCACUUAUUAGAAGUGCAGUGGUAUUUUUUGGCGUAGAACUUGUCACUUGAUGGCAAAUGACAGUUAAUUUUAUAGAUGGUGCACUAAUUUUGAUGUUGCUUCAUGUCAGGUGACAUAAUUCCAAAAUUUUAUAGGGUUUGACAAUUAGCUGAUUCAAUGAUUGACUUAUUUGGUAUAUUUCCCAGAAGUAACUUUAAAUGCAUUUUAAAAUAUUGAGUUUUCAAUGAGAAAAUUCUUUCAGAGCCUAAUUCUAUUUGUUAAAACUCAUGCCACACCACUGUAUCCAAAUACCGUAGGAUGAUCAUCAUUCGUCAAGAUCAAGAUCCCCCUCUGGCCACCCCAGGAUCACUUACAGGAAAACAAACUCAGGAGUGUAGUUUUGUGUCAAGGAAACAUCUCAAAUUGUUCCAACAGUGUUGUUUAAUCUUUAGUGGGAGAGGCAGGAGGAGAGCCCAGUGUGGGACUUCCCCAAGUCUUUUUCUUACAUUAGGUUUCAACAUCAAUCCCAAGGCAUCAGGAUAUGCUUCUGAGACACUCAGCUGAGAGGAUCAAGAUCCUAGUAAACAUCUGUGCCACUCCUGAUGUGACAACAUUGUCUUGGGCCAAUGCUUUAAUACUUCCUGUUCCACAGUUCAGAAAUGAGGAAAAGAGAAAAGGGACCCUCUGACCAACUGGAAAAGAAAUCUGAUACCAGAACACCUCAUUGUCAGUUGUACUACCAUGCUGCAUGCAGAGAACAGGCAGGUAAUAAUUAAAAGGGGAUAUUUUUUUUUUAGUUGAUUGAAUAGAAUAAUCACAUGAGGGAGAAAACAUCCAAUUCAUCAAUUGAUAGGGAACCAAAACCAAUAAGUCAUUGAUUUUAAAGUAUCAACUUCUUUUUAAUAACUGGCUUACUGCCUGAAACUUAGAAUCUAAUUUGGGUUAACAACAAUAAAAGUCAAGGGUGUGCCUUUAAAAAAAGAAAAAUCAACAACAAAAAGGAGUGGAAUUCAUAAUGGCCCUUCUUGAUUUUUUUUACUGAUGUUUUUCUGCUGAGGAAGCUGUUUCUAUGUGACAGAUCAGUAAGAUGUAAUGGAGGGAACUGAAAAAGAUUAGAGGUGGAAAGAACAAAUGGUGAAAAUUAUUAGCAGAAUUGUCACAGAGUUUGCAAGACAAAAGGCAUUGGUAGAUGAUUUUUAAAAUAGUACGUUAUCAUAAAAGCUUUCUUAGGAUAAUUCCAGCCCUCUAGAUAACACAAGUUGCCUAAACACACAAUAAUUUCAAAAUGGUUAGUAUAUUUUGACAAAGAAUACCCAAAGUCAGUAUGACACACAAGUAUUUGCAUUGUGCUAAUUUGUUGCUAUUUGAAGCCCAUGGAAAAUAUAUAUCCCAGUGACUUGGAAAUGUAAUAUAUAGAGAUCAAACUAUCUGUAUUGUUUCUGCACCUUACCUUGGAUUACCACCAUCAAGAUGGAAAACAGCUUUGAAGAGGGGGUGACAAGCUAAUAUUAAUCUGUUUUUAAUCUUAAAGGUGAUUGUACACAUAUUACUACUAUAAUUGUUUAUUUUAAGAUAGGACUAAAAUACCUUUUACUGUGUGAGGUAAAGUAAGAAAAGAUUCAGAGGCAAGAAAAUGUUGAAUUUAGGUUUAUGUAUUCAAAUAUUACAUGAAAAAUAUCUGAAUUUGCCAUAAUGAUUGGAUAUAAAAAAACAGAAAAACUUUACUUUUAAUCAUAAACUUUAUUUAAUAUCUCUACCACGAUUUAAAUCUUUGAAAAAUGCAGUGUACUUACCAAUUUGUCUUUCCAGUGACUUUUAAUGAUAUCCUUGAUCAAUUUCUGCUCCUGGUUGGCACACAAAUCAAGAAUACCUAUUCUGAUAAAUAUACUCUUAUCAAGAGACAAGGAUACAAUAAUACCAGAUAAAAAUCCACAUUGGUAUAAAAAGUUGUCAGUUCAGUCAGACAACACAUUUGACCAAAUAGCAGGUUAAUUGAAAUGCUAAAUGAGCAAAAAGUAAAAAGUUAUGCAGAUAAUGAAAUCCAAUAAGUUAAAAGGGUGGGUCUUUAUCUAGCAUAGGAAAAGCAGGGCUGAGUUCCCAGUAGAGUGUCUCUCACAGAAAUGCUGACUUUCUGAGCUUAAUAAAAUGUUCAAAAACUUGAGUUAGUGAUGUGCCCUCUCUUAUGAUUGUAGCUACCUGAUCAAC
This 37341-nucleotide long non-coding RNA is filed under the name Marmota monax (woodchuck). The stretch from base 19784 to 19855 matches the Rfam family "tRNA". Lineage: Eukaryota; Metazoa; Chordata; Mammalia; Rodentia; Sciuridae. The record is from RNAcentral.